Molecule: ribosomal RNA, 27 nt
Filed under: Enterocytozoon bieneusi
Lineage: Eukaryota; Fungi; Microsporidia; Enterocytozoonidae
Description: partial small subunit ribosomal RNA
Source: RNAcentral
GUUGGAGAACCAGCUGAAGGAUCAUUU